UUACAUGGAUUUAUUUAUUUAUUUGAGUGGUAUUUUUCACUGGAGCAUUGACAGAAACAGCAGUUUAUAUCUGUAUUAGAUCUAUAAAUUAAAUAUAGAUAAUUAAAUAAAGUUAAAUACAUUAAAAUAUAUUAAAGUUGAAUAUAUUUAAAUAGAUAAUUAGAUUGAAAUAAUAUAUCCUAUUAAAUAAUUAAAUAAUAAAUAUUUAACACAAAGAUUUAAAUUAAAUGAAAUAGUGUAUUUAAACGUGCGCUGGCCACGAGGGGCGUUAACGUGAUGUUACGUGAGUGACGUAAACGUGAUGGCAAAAAAAAAAAACGUAAACGUAACGUGAUGGCGCAAAUAACCACGAAGACGGAAGAAUAAUUCUGUUUAUUACAAAAGACUGAAGAUAUAACUGCCGCCAUCCUUUAAUUUAUUUAUUUCUACGCUGAGGACACUUUAUAAACCUACAGAGAUACCGGACCAACGAACGACCUUCACAACGGGACGGAGCUAACGUAAUUAACGUUAACGGUUACUUGGAAAUUCAAACAGUAACGGUCAUCUGACAACUGCGCUGAGCCAAAGGUGGUCCAAGUUACAGUCUGAGGACGGGAACAGCAACAAGAGUUUAACUUCUGAUUCGUAAUCUACACACUCUACUGUUCAUGAAGACAGAUAGAUGUUGUGCCGACCAGGACAGUUCCUCCUACCACACCAGACUUUGCUGUAUAUGGAUGCCUGACCACUAGCACUGGACAUUUACAACAUUUUGGCGCCAGGGAUCCCUUGCAGAGAAGAUUUUUCAAAGACACCCUCAGAAUUACAACAGAUUUUAAGGCUUAAAAUUAUUGUGGGUGGGAGUCAGGAAAAAACACAUAAGUUGCAUCCGUGUAUAAGACACAUUUUACUAUUAAUUUCAGAAAUAUUUUAAAUACUGAUAAAUAAAACAAACGUUAAGAAACUUAAAAACUAUGAACACUGUAAAGAUUUUAUUUUCCCUCACUUCAAAUCAUUUAAAUUGAAUACUAUUCAAAACAGAAUAAAAAUAAAAAUAUUUAGGCCUAUGUAUAAAAUAAAAAAAAAUUCUAGUGCCAUUAUUUACAAGCAGUAUAUCUUUUGUUAAUUAAAAUGCACUUGCUAUCUCAGUUUCUGUGAACCUCAUUCUGAAAUGUAGAAAACAUUUCUGUACCACAUAUUGUCUGUACCACUGUGUACAGACAGGCUUGUCACACAGACAUGAGAACUAUACUUAUAGAAACCUGUAAGUGCCCGCUUUUAUGUGUUUACGUUUUGCUUAGAAUAAUUCAGCACAUCUCAGAAGAUUAAAAAAAAAGACCAGUAGUCUGGAAAAUAUGGUAUAAAUUAUUUUGUUGACCCCUUUGCUUUGGUCCUGAACCCCAGAUUGAAAACCCUUUUUUUAUUAUUAUUAUUGUGCAUGCAGAUAAUAUUUGGGCACAUGAACACUUGACUAUUGCAUGAAUAAAGAAUACCAUCUUUAAGAAUUUUAUGCUAAUUGCAGUUUAAAUAAAAAUGAAAAAGCUUAAAAAGUUAAACUCCAAUAGGUGAACAUAAUGUGUG
Molecule: long non-coding RNA, 1563 nt
Organism: Cyprinus carpio carpio
Lineage: Eukaryota; Metazoa; Chordata; Actinopteri; Cypriniformes; Cyprinidae
Source: Ensembl